CCGUGCUGAGGUUUUCGCCGCCGCCGAGUACCGCCGUGUCGCGCCUCUGCGCACGCGCGCCGCCGCCGCGGCUGCCGCCUCCGUUACUGCCGUGUCUGCGGGGGGGUGAGGGGCCGGCGCCGCCUCACUCCCGUCUCCGCCUUGGUCUCUGCCUUGAUCUCCGCCCCUGUGUUCCUCCUCCUGACUCAGCCCCGUUUCGUCACCAACUCCGCCUGUCUCCUCAGGUGUCACCCCGCCUCCCGAGGGACCCGGCAGGGCCACUUCCGGGUUCGCCUCACUCCGCGGAACCGCCGAGGUGUUAACAUCCGCUGUCUGCGGGCACACUUCCGCCCCUGCCUCACCCGCGCUUCCCUCAGUCUCGCGCCGGCCAGCCCCGUGCCGGUUGGCCCCGCGCUCGCCUCUAUACGAGCGACAAAAUUAUUUUAUAGAGAGACUGAUUGGAGCCUGCUGCCCUCGCACUGGCUGCAUGUUACAAACACGAAAGAAUUUUUCAACCCGAGAUGGCUUCUGGACUCCUGUCUGUUCUGAUGUGGCUCGCUCAAACUCCUGAAUCGCGGCUUCUGCGGCUUUUUUCUCCGCGGCCAUGCUUUGCAGGCUCUCUUUGAGAGAAUAUGAAAGAGAAGCCGCACGGAAGCAUGCAGAUCCCCAUCCAUGGUGAACUUUCACCCUCUCUCUCCGCCGCUUACCUCCAACCUCCGCGGCUUGCUUUUCCUCGCUUUUCUUCGGCGAGGCGGCACUCCCGCUCCAGCUCCCCGGCCCUGGCUCCGUCCACACCCGUCGUUCGGGCUUCUCGUGAACACCAGGGUGUUUUUCUCUGCUCCAGCGGGCUCCUGCAACCAAACAGCCAUGCGAAAAGCCUUUUUCUCCCGUCGUGAACAGCACGAUUUGGAGAUCCUGGAUUUUUUGCUCCAUUCACCUGAUCCUCGCUCGCAAAAGCGAAUUUAGGAUCCCAGCCACGUUGCUAUAAAGCGAUGUGGACCUGAUUUUCAUCGUGCGACUCAAACUCAGCUCCCCGUUACCCUAAAAAUAAUUUGGGAGCUUUCCGGAGCAUCCUGGGUCCCUGGUUCGGGCGCCACAAAAAGCCAGGGACCUCAUAAAACGGGAAAACUGUACAGGACAGAAUGCACAUACAACCAAUAUGAUUAAUGCAACGUUCUCCGUUUAUUCAAGAGAAGAUGGCAGUUUAUAUACACUUCUACAUAGUUUACAGUUUACAAAGGCACUCUGGCAAGCUAACAUUGCUUAUCUUUGUCUUAAGGUGGCCCAAACCUUACACUGUAAACCUAUACUACUUCACACCCAGACAGCCCAGCGCUCCCCAUCACACCUUAAUACAAUUUCUAACUGCACCACAAGCUCUUAAUUUCUAACUGCGUCAGAGGCUGGAAGGCCUCACAAGGCCCAAAUCUGAGGCCUAGACUGGAGUAGCUCAAAUCUCAUUCCAAACAUAAAUCGUGACCUCUGUCUCUCAGAAAUGCUGCAACAAAUAUACAUUCAUAUUUCAUGUAUUCAAGACUUCUGUAAAUAAAAAGGCUUUGUAAUACCUGUGAUUUUUGCAGUGCUCACUAGGGAAUUAUCCCAUGUACUGCCUGGCUGUCACAAUAAACAUACACUUUCUAACUUUAAA
Molecule: long non-coding RNA, 1627 nt
Organism: Taeniopygia guttata (zebra finch)
Lineage: Eukaryota; Metazoa; Chordata; Aves; Passeriformes; Estrildidae
Source: RefSeq, a predicted model, not a curated record